This 474-nucleotide ribosomal RNA is filed under the name uncultured organism. RNAcentral's name for it is "partial 16S ribosomal RNA". It matches the Rfam family "Bacterial small subunit ribosomal RNA", at positions 335 to 800 of the family's 1533-position model. The record is from RNAcentral.
ACUCCUGCGGGAGGCAGCAGUGGGGAAUUUUGGACAAUGGGCGAAAGCCUGAUCCAGCAAUGCCGCGUGAGUGAAGAAGGCCUUCGGGUUGUAAAGCUCUUUUGUCAGGGAAGAAACGGUGAAAGCUAAUAUCUUUUGCUAAUGACGGUACCUGAAGAAUAAGCACCGGCUAACUACGUGCCAGCAGCCGCGGUAAUACGUAGGGUGCAAGCGUUAAUCGGAAUUACUGGGCGUAAAGCGUGCGCAGGCGGUUUUGUAAGUCUGAUGUGAAAUCCCCGGGCUCAACCUGGGAAUUGCAUUGGAGACUGCAAGGCUAGAAUCUGGCAGAGGGGGGUAGAAUUCCACGUGUAGCAGUGAAAUGCGUAGAUAUGUGGAGGAACACCGAUGGCGAAGGCAGCCCCCUGGGUCAAGAUUGACGCUCAUGCACGAAAGCGUGGGGAGCAAACAGGAUUAGAUACCCCAGUAGUCCCAUGA